GGUAAAAUGGCUGAAAAAGCAUUAGACUGUAAAUCUAAGGAUAGAGGUUGGAGUCCUCUUUUUGCCA
Molecule: transfer RNA, 67 nt
Filed under: Nandinia binotata (African palm civet)
Lineage: Eukaryota; Metazoa; Chordata; Mammalia; Carnivora; Nandiniidae
Description: tRNA-Tyr
Rfam family: tRNA
About the family: Transfer RNA (tRNA) molecules are approximately 80 nucleotides in length. Their secondary structure includes four short double-helical elements and three loops (D, anti-codon, and T loops).
Source: RNAcentral